CUGGACCGGCUCCUGGAGAAGGUUCUUCUGCUGGUUUUUGAGGCGGAGAUGUCUCGGUUUGACCGGCAGCGCCACGGCCAGGAGAACGCAGCCGAUAUGGAGUCCGCAGUACCAGGACCUGCAGGGAGGAAGAAACAGAUCCAGCAGCAGAUGGCAGCAGUCUACAGAGUACCAACCAACCACGACACCUUCACAGGAAGUCAAUCAAAUAUGCCGAAGCAGAAGAGAGCGAAGUAGAGUCCCAGUAAGGUGGCGACCACAUGUCUGAUGAAGGGACUGGUUUUACUGGGAUGAAGGAAGAGGCGAAACCAGAAGGCCGACAGCAAAGCGCAGAGCUGACACACCACAAAGUUCACCUGCCAGACAGAGAGAGGGGCGAAAAGACACAUUACAGAGGGAGUAUCAGCAGCGUAACAUCUGAUCCAGCUGAAGUGAAACAGGCGACGCUUGUUGAUGUGUUGCUCAUUAAUAAUGAACGGCGUGUAAACUGAGCGAUUACAGUCUGUUUCCUCUUUCGUCUGCUGCCUGAAGCUCCACACACACGUUAAUUAGAGGCUGAUGACUAAUGAGGAGGACACACACUGACCGGCUCCAUGGCUGGAGAGUAACUGAGUACAUUUACUCAAGUACUGGA
Molecule: long non-coding RNA, 634 nt
Organism: Sebastes umbrosus (honeycomb rockfish)
Lineage: Eukaryota; Metazoa; Chordata; Actinopteri; Perciformes; Sebastidae
Exons: 4
Source: RefSeq, a predicted model, not a curated record